RNAcentral lists this ribosomal RNA (497 nucleotides) under uncultured bacterium. RNAcentral describes it as "partial 16S ribosomal RNA". It matches the Rfam family "Bacterial small subunit ribosomal RNA", at positions 28 to 507 of the family's 1533-position model. The record is from RNAcentral.
GAUGAACGCUGGCGGCGUGCCUAAUACAUGCAAGUCGAGCGAACAGACGAGGAGCUUGCUCCUCUGACGUUAGCGGCGGACGGGUGAGUAACACGUGGAUAACCUACCUAUAAGACUGGGAUAACUUCGGGAAACCGGAGCUAAUACCGGAUAAUAUAUUGAACCGCAUGGUUCAAUAGUGAAAGACGGUUUUGCUGUCACUUAUAGAUGGAUCCGCGCCGCAUUAGCUAGUUGGUAAGGUAACGGCUUACCAAGGCAACGAUGCGUAGCCGACCUGAGAGGGUGAUCGGCCACACUGGAACGGAGACGCGGUCCAGGCUCCUACGGGAGGCAGCAGUAGGGAAUCGUCCGCAAUGGGCGAAAGCCUGGCGGAGCAACGCCGCGUGAGUGAUGAAGGUCUUCGGAUCGUAAAACUCUGUUAUUAGGGAAGAACAAAUGUGUAAGUAACUAUGCACGUCUUGACGGUACCUAAUCAGAAAGCCACGGCUAACUACGUG